GUGGGGAAUUUUGGACAAUGGGCGCAAGCCUGAUCCAGCAAUGCCGCGUGCAGGAAGAAGGCCUUCGGGUUGUAAACUGCUUUUGUACGGAACGAAACGGUCCUGGUUAAUACCUGGGGCUAAUGACGGUACCGUAAGAAUAAGCACCGGCUAACUACGUGCCAGCAGCCGCGGUAAUACGUAGGGUGCGAGCGUUAAUCGGAAUUACUGGUCGUAAAGCGUGCGCAGGCGGUGCUGUAAGACAGGCGUGAAAUCCCCGGGCUCAACCUGGGAAUUGCGCUUGUGACUGCAGUGCUGGAGUACGGCAGAGGGGGAUGGAAUUCCGCGUGUAGCAGUGAAAUGCGUAGAUAUGCGGAGGAACACCGAUGGCGAAGGCAGUCCCCUGGCCUGUACUGACGCUCAUGCACGAAAGCGUGGGGAGCAAACAGGAUUAGAUACCCCAGUAGUCC
RNAcentral lists this ribosomal RNA (449 nucleotides) under uncultured bacterium. RNAcentral describes it as "partial 16S ribosomal RNA". It matches the Rfam family "Bacterial small subunit ribosomal RNA", at positions 354 to 796 of the family's 1533-position model. The record is from RNAcentral.